GAGGAUAGGAGAACGGGAUCGAAAGCCCGGCCGAAGAAGGUGAAAGCCCUGUAACCGAAAUCCGAGCGAAGCCUAAUGGGAUCCUGAGUACGGCGAGACACGAGAAAUCUUGUCGGAAGCAGGCGGGACCAUCCGCCAAGGCUAAAUAUAAACGAGUGAGCGAUAGUGAACCAGUACCGUGAGGGAAAGGUGAAAAGAACCGCGGGAGCGGAGUGAAAGAGAACCUGAAACCGUAUGCCUACAAGAAGUCAGAGCCCGUUAAGGGGUGAUGGCGUGCCUUUUGUAGAAUGAACCGGCGAGUUGCGACAGACUGCGAGGUUAAGGAGGAAAGACCGGAGCCGAAGCGAAAGCGAGUCUUAAGAGGGCGAAAGUAGGAUGUUGCAGACCCGAAACCGGGUGAUCUAGCCAUGAGCAGGUUGAAGUUG
Molecule: ribosomal RNA, 425 nt
Filed under: Chrysotila carterae
Lineage: Eukaryota; Haptophyta; Isochrysidales; Isochrysidaceae
Description: partial Bacterial large subunit ribosomal RNA
Rfam family: Bacterial large subunit ribosomal RNA
Source: RNAcentral